GCUAGAAUGCAAGUCGAACGGGCCUGAUUUCGGUCAGGCUAGUGGCGGACGGGUGAGUAACACGUGGGUGAUCUACCCCAAAGUCUGGGACAACUAGGGGAAACCUUAGCUAAUCCCGGAUGGUGAGGCUUCUCCUGUGAAGUCUCUAAAGAUUUAUCGCUUUGGGAUGAGCCCGCGGCGCAUCAGCUAGUUGGUGGGGUAAUGGCCUACCAAGGCGACGACGCGUAGCUGGUCUGAGAGGACGACCAGCCACAGGAGCACUGAGACACGGGCUCCACUCCUACGGGAGGCAGCAGUUAGGAAUCUUCGUCAAUGGGCGAAAGCCUGAACGAGCGACGCCGCUUGAGGGACGAAGCCCUUCGGGGUGUAAACCUCUGAACAGGGGACGAUGAUGACGGUACCCUGCUAAUAGCACCGGCUAACUCCGUGCCAGCAGCCGCGGUAAUACGGAGGGUGCGAGCGUUACCCGGAUUUACUGGGCGUAAAGGGCGUGUAGGCGGUUUUCUAAGUCCGG
This 514-nucleotide ribosomal RNA is filed under the name uncultured bacterium. RNAcentral's name for it is "bacterial SSU rRNA". It matches the Rfam family "Bacterial small subunit ribosomal RNA", at positions 46 to 592 of the family's 1533-position model. The record is from RNAcentral.